UUUCCUACGGGACGUCAGCAGUUAUGGGCGCAAAGCGUGACGGGAGCAAAUACCAGCGUGAGGGAAGGAAGAGCUCUUGAGUCGUAAGCCUCGUUUUCUCAGGGAAGAAACACAAUGACGGUACCUGAGGAAUCAGCAUCGGCUAACUCCGUCCAGCAGCCGCGGUAAUACGGAGGAUGCAAGCGUUAUCCGGAAUCAUUGGGCGUAAAGCGUCCGCAGGUGGCUUGUCAAGUUUGCGGUCAAAGCCCGGGGCUCAACCCUGGACAGGCAGUGGAAACUGAAGAGCUAGAGUACGGUAGGGGCAGAGGGAAUUCCCGGUGUAGCGGUGAAAUGCGUAGAGAUCGGGAAGAACACCGGUGGCGAAGGCGCUCUGCUGGACCGCAACUGACACUCAGGGACGAAAGCUAGGGGAGCGAAUGGGAUUAGAUACCCCAGUAGUCCUAGCCGUAAACGAUGGAUACUAGGUGUAGCUCGUAUCGACCCGAGCAGUGCCGUAGCCAACGCGUUAAGUUGCCGCCUGGGAGACCCGCAGGCCA
RNAcentral lists this ribosomal RNA (536 nucleotides) under uncultured cyanobacterium. RNAcentral's name for it is "bacterial SSU rRNA". It matches the Rfam family "Bacterial small subunit ribosomal RNA", at positions 335 to 891 of the family's 1533-position model. RNAcentral also lists the same sequence under 1 other name. Lineage: Bacteria; Bacillati; Cyanobacteriota. The record is from RNAcentral.